AAGCUAUCAAAAAGUUGCCAACUAACAAAAUAUUCAUCACAAAAUUUCAAACAUUUUUGUAGUUAAAAAUUUUUUGAUA
This is a non-coding RNA of Caenorhabditis elegans, 79 nucleotides long. Lineage: Eukaryota; Metazoa; Nematoda; Chromadorea; Rhabditida; Rhabditidae. The record is from Ensembl.